AUUGAACGCUGGCGGCAUGCCUUACACAUGCAAGUCGAACGGCAGCACGGGAGCAAUCCUGGUGGCGAGUGGCGAACGGGUGAGUAAUGUAUCGGAACGUGCCCAUUCGUGGGGGAUGACGUAGCGAAAGCUACGCUAAUACCGCAUACGAUCUAUGGAUGAAAGCGGGGGAUCGCAAGACCUCGCGCGAUUGGAGCGGCCGAUAUCAGAUUAGGUAGUUGGUGGGGUAAAGGCUCACCAAGCCGACGAUCUGUAGCUGGUCUGAGAGGACGACCAGCCACACUGGGACUGAGACACGGCCCAGACUCCUACGGGAGGCAGCAGUGGGGAAUUUUGGACAAUGGGCGCAAGCCUGAUCCAGCAAUGCCGCGUGCAGGAUGAAGGCCUUCGGGUUGUAAACUGCUUUUGUACGGAACGAAACGGCGAGCUCUAAUACAGUUUGCUAACGACGGUACCGUAAGAAUAAGCACCGGCUAACUACGUGCCAGCAGCCGCCGUAA
RNAcentral lists this ribosomal RNA (500 nucleotides) under uncultured bacterium. RNAcentral describes it as "partial 16S ribosomal RNA". It matches the Rfam family "Bacterial small subunit ribosomal RNA", at positions 30 to 523 of the family's 1533-position model. The record is from RNAcentral.